Molecule: non-coding RNA, 83 nt
Filed under: Micromonospora echinaurantiaca
Lineage: Bacteria; Bacillati; Actinomycetota; Actinomycetes; Micromonosporales; Micromonosporaceae
Description: ZTP sequence
Rfam family: ZMP/ZTP riboswitch aptamer (pfl RNA motif)
About the family: Previously known as pfl RNA. ZMP is also known as AICAR.
Source: Rfam by way of RNAcentral
GGGUGGGAACGCGACUGGCGGCACGGGGAUGGCACCAACCAUCGGGGAGCUCGCCGUGGGAGUCGACCGCCUGGGCACCCACG